AAGAGACGUUGCCCUUCGGGGUAUACCUCCCACCCUUUGUUUAUUAUACCUUUGUGCUUUGGCGGGCCCGUCCUCGGACCACCGGCUUCUGCUGGUCAGUGCCCGCCAGAGGACCUAAAGCUCUGUUUGUUAAUAUUGUCUGAGUACUAUAUAAUAGUU
This 159-nucleotide unclassified non-coding RNA is filed under the name soil metagenome. RNAcentral describes it as "partial internal transcribed spacer 1". The record is from RNAcentral.